GAUGAACGCUGGCGGCGUGCCUAAUACAUGCAAGUCGAGCGAACGGACGAGAAGCUUGCUUCUCUGAUGUUAGCGGCGGACGGGUGAGUAACACGUGGAUAACCUACCUAUAAGACUGGGAUAACUUCGGGAAACCGGAGCUAAUACCGGAUAAUAUUUUGAACCGCAUGGUUCAAAAGUGAAAGACGGUCUUGCUGUCACUUAUAGAUGGAUCCGCGCUGCAUUAGCUAGUUGGUAAGGUAACGGCUUACCAAGGCAACGAUGCAUAGCCGACCUGAGAGGGUGAUCGGCCACACUGGAACUGAGACACGGUCCAGACUCCUACGGGAGGCAGCAGUAGGGAAUCUUCCGCAAUGGGCGAAAGCCUGACGGAGCAACGCCGCGUGAGUGAUGAAGGUCUUCGGAUCGUAAAACUCUGUUAUUAGGGAAGAACAUAUGUGUAAGUAACUGUGCACAUCUAGACGGUACCUAAUCAGAAAGCCACGGCUAACUACGUG
This 497-nucleotide ribosomal RNA is filed under the name uncultured bacterium. RNAcentral describes it as "partial 16S ribosomal RNA". It matches the Rfam family "Bacterial small subunit ribosomal RNA", at positions 28 to 507 of the family's 1533-position model. The record is from RNAcentral.